CGCCCCUAAUGGUGGUUCUAAUGAUAAUGGUGGUGAUGAUGAUGUUGGUGAUGAUGGCGAUAUGUUGGUUCUGGUGAUAGUGACGGUAGUGGUGGUGAUGAUGAUGGUAGUGAUGAUUGUGGUGAUAAUGAUGGGCCAGGUGGUAAUGAUGGUGAUCGUGGGAUGGUGGUGUUUUCGCGCACAUUUUACAAAACCAGUAACACGAUAAAGGCGCUGGGGCCUUGGUAUUACAACAGACACAGAUUAGAGGAUCUUGCAAUCUGUGACACUGCAUGUCACAAAUUAGAGGAUUAGCCGAAAGCUCGUCAAUAAAAAUAAUUUGGCAAGAAAACGUCUCAAUUUUAAUAUGCAUGCUAUUAUAUACCAAAACUUUUAAAUAGUACUUAUAAAGGCCUCGUUGUGGAAAUGCGGUCCUUGAAUGGUCAAUUGCCGUGACUGCCAAUUACCAUGGUGUUCAUGCAGCCAAACGGCAUGCGCGAU
Molecule: non-coding RNA, 480 nt
Organism: Paramuricea clavata
Lineage: Eukaryota; Metazoa; Cnidaria; Anthozoa; Malacalcyonacea; Plexauridae
Source: the annotation of a GenBank genome assembly